RNAcentral lists this ribosomal RNA (979 nucleotides) under Lactobacillus gallinarum. RNAcentral describes it as "bacterial SSU rRNA". It matches the Rfam family "Bacterial small subunit ribosomal RNA", at positions 379 to 1352 of the family's 1533-position model. Lineage: Bacteria; Bacillati; Bacillota; Bacilli; Lactobacillales; Lactobacillaceae. The record is from RNAcentral.
CAGUCUGAUGGAGCACGCCGCGUGAGUGAAGAAGGUUUUCGGAUCGUAAAGCUCUGUUGUUGGUGAAGAAGGAUAGAGGUAGUAACUGGCCUUUAUUUGACGGUAAUCAACCAGAAAGUCACGGCUAACUACGUGCCAGCAGCCGCGGUAAUACGUAGGUGGCAAGCGUUGUCCGGAUUUAUUGGGCGUAAAGCGAGCGCAGGCGGAAGAAUAAGUCUGAUGUGAAAGCCCUCGGCUUAACCGAGGAAUUGCAUCGGAAACUGUUUUUCUUGAGUGCAGAAGAGGAGAGUGGAACUCCAUGUGUAGCGGUGGAAUGCGUAGAUAUAUGGAAGAACACCAGUGGCGAAGGCGGCUCUCUGGUCUGCAACUGACGCUGAGGCUCGAAAGCAUGGGUAGCGAACAGGAUUAGAUACCCUGGUAGUCCAUGCCGUAAACGAUGAGUGCUAAGUGUUGGGAGGUUUCCGCCUCUCAGUGCUGCAGCUAACGCAUUAAGCACUCCGCCUGGGGAGUACGACCGCAAGGUUGAAACUCAAAGGAAUUGACGGGGGCCCGCACAAGCGGUGGAGCAUGUGGUUUAAUUCGAAGCAACGCGAAGAACCUUACCAGGUCUUGACAUCUAGUGCCAUCCUAAGAGAUUAGGAGUUCCCUUCGGGGACGCUAAGACAGGUGGUGCAUGGCUGUCGUCAGCUCGUGUCGUGAGAUGUUGGGUUAAGUCCCGCAACGAGCGCAACCCUUAUUAUUAGUUGCCAGCAUUAAGUUGGGCACUCUAAUGAGACUGCCGGUGACAAACCGGAGGAAGGUGGGGAUGACGUCAAGUCAUCAUGCCCCUUAUGACCUGGGCUACACACGUGCUACAAUGGGCAGUACAACGAGAAGCGAGCCUGCGAAGGCAAGCGAAUCUCUGAAAGCUGUUCUCAGUUCGGACUGCAGUCUGCAACUCGACUGCACGAAGCUGGAAUCGCUAGUAAUCGCGGAUCAG